UUUCGUUGAGUUUACAUCUAAAUAAAGUAAUCGAAUCAAAUGCGUCUCGCACACUGUCAAAGCUACAUUUUAGGAAAACCCCUGUAGGAAGGUGACAGCGAAAUUCGAAAUCAGGUUCGUUUGAUAUUGAAAAAUAAAGACAGUUCAAAGAAAGACGACGAAAAACAGGAAGUGCCGGAUAUAGAACACGCAAUUUCCAUGUAAAGGUGAAAAAAACUCCUAACUUCGUAGUAUAACAGUAUGUUGGAAAUCAGGUUAACCUUCGCGCCGACUUUUGUUUCCCCCGUUUGAUUAUUCGUCACUUAUUUACCGUUGAGGCAAGCAAAUGGUGUUUUAACACUUUCGAAAAGAAAUGUCACCACCCCAGCCAAUUCGUAAGAUAUAUGGCAUGUUUUGACCUUUGAAGCCAUCUGAGUCAUCACGAAUUUUGUUUUUUGUAUCGAGUGGGUUGGUGCUGAGUCGUCCCCAAAACAGUUCAAAUUACGAUGGCGUUAGUGUUGGGGAGGGACAGGCACGCAACAGAAGCCAAAGAACGCGGAAGAUAUGGCGAUUGGAAAGUCUAUUGUGCAGGAAACUGUUGUGCAGGAAUGUUACGCAUACUUUCGGGAUUAUAAUUGAUGGAUUUCUCUCCUCUCCCCAAAGUUUCUCUAGUUCUUAUAAUAAUGAAGCUACUCAAAGCGGAAUAAUGCUGUACGAGUAUAAUGUCGGGUGACGUAAAUAGGUUUUUUUUUUUUUUUAAGAAAUAAAACUUGGUAUUUCGUCACUCUGCGAGCUUCUAUCUUUACCCUCAAUCAGUGUCUUUUUUCCCCAUGUAAAGCUCAGGGAAGAGAAAGUUUUCUGGAAGAAGACAUUUCUUCCCACCGCACAUGUCGAUGGUCUCUCUCUCUUAUUUCUCUCGUGAAUCGCGUGAACAAUGUGAAGCGUUUUUACUCCGCAGUUUUCCCAAAAGGAAGCAAAAGGUCUGGUACAAGCGACCCAUUGACAUUUUACUAUAGAUAUACUGUCGAUAUACUUGACUGCGUGUCAGGUACCUAUACGUUUUGUAAGUUUUAUUCUUUCGGUGGUCUUGCAACCUUUUCACACCGACGAAUUACAACCGAAAAGCCGUUUACCGUCUGAUUUCGUGAAACAGCAGUUCAACUAGGGAUUAUAUUACCAUAUCCGGUAUUAGUGAAUCGUGAUGUCGAUGCACACAGUACCAUGGAAAAUGUCUUGUGACCUACAUUUGUUUUCUGUUUUUUUUUUUUUUUUUUUUGUGUCUGUAUUCCAACACAAAAGAAAUCCAUCAUUCCUGACUUGAGCACCCGUUUUGCGACACAUUGUAUUGGAGAAAUGCCUAUCCACUUAGGUAAACUAGAUCACUCUAGUCUAUACUGGACAGGGUGCAGGUUUGCGAGCAAGGUUAUACGUCAGAAUAAAUUACACGCCGUACCAAUCUACUGCACAAUAAGUUACAUUUCGCCGAAA
Molecule: long non-coding RNA, 1467 nt
Organism: Daphnia pulicaria
Lineage: Eukaryota; Metazoa; Arthropoda; Branchiopoda; Diplostraca; Daphniidae
Exons: 2
Source: RefSeq, a predicted model, not a curated record